Molecule: long non-coding RNA, 1877 nt
Organism: Homo sapiens (human)
Lineage: Eukaryota; Metazoa; Chordata; Mammalia; Primates; Hominidae
Exons: 2
Source: RefSeq, a predicted model, not a curated record
UACCCUGCUGAAAUAUUCCUGAAAAUGGUGUGAAGACUAGAAAAACCUCUUAUCAAAAUUCUUCAGUGGUUGUUUCUUUCCCUUGUCCUCAAAACUGAGAUUAUUACAAUAUCUUUCUUGUUUAUUCAGUACCUACACCUGGGAUUUCCAGGCUCCUUACAAUGGCAUCCAUCUCUGCUGAUAACCACCGUGCUUGGAACUCUAGCAAGACUGUGGCAACCCUGGGCAACAUAGUAAACAGAGGGCAAAAUAGUGGCCCUCUGUUUGAAGCAGAAGCCGUUUCACAUUAGAUGUUGCCUAUGUUCCAGUGGCACAUAAAAUCCCACAUUAAACAAGACAUCAUUUUGUUGUACAUCUUUCAUCAUUACAGUUGGGUAAGGAGGUUGGGGAGAUUUUGUCUCUCACCACCUCUCAGGAAGUUGGAUGUCAACAUAUGAACCCCUCCCCUCUGUUACCAAGGGUGAGAGAUAUUGUGGCUUCUUCUUGGAUAUCUGAAUGGUGGUGAGAUCAACCUCUGGGCCAGCCAAGUAUGGAACUCAAUCCAAAACAACGGACUUCUUUUGUUUCGUGUCAGUUCAGCUUCCUACAAACAAAAUUAAAGCAGCAUUGGUUUAGUAAUUGGAAAUGCAUAUCAAAGAAAAGAAGCUUAACUCAAAACAGAUUUUCCUAACCAUCUUCAAUGUACAUGUGUAGGAGAAAUGCAUUCUUUAUUUGUAGCAGUGCAAAUGUCAGUGAUUACAAACAUGUGUGUGACUGUUUGCCAGCAAUUUGUUCUUGCCCUUGGAUGAUCAGACCCUUACGGAAUCUAGGCAGACUGUGGAACUUCCAUUGGCUUCCACUGGCUUUGGUGUGAAAUAUAGAGAUAUGAGUAGUGGUGACAAGAGGGGACACGGGAAAGGCCCGUGGGAAUAGGCCUUUGAGGGGAAGCACGCUGAUCUCUUGUUCUGCAGCGCAUGCUUGGGAUGGUAUGCGCAUGCCUUCUCUCACUAAGACUAGGACUGCUUACAGAAUGCGAAUAUAAGUAUCCUUAUUUGGGAGAAAAGUACAUUUUCAAGGGCUGGUAAAAUGACGUGGAGGAAGGGAGGAUCCAGGGAGCCUUCUGAAGAGUAUUGUCAGGAUGUCUCUUCUCUUUCAGCCACCUGGAUAUGUUUCACAUUUUGUUUCCCAAACAAGGACUAGAUUGGAUCCCAGAAGGGAAUGGUUUCCUUAGUAUACAUUCCGAAUUCCUUUGUAAGGGAAAAAUCCACUUCAUCUGGUCUAAGAAUACGUAAGAACAAAUGAAAAUGUUGUGGCUGGAGAUGUUCCUGAGUUAAUAUCAGGAUGUUUGCCUGCUGGUUUCUGUUUUACCAAACAAAACAUAGCUGCCAAUUCAUCCAUCUGUAAAAGUGCUCCUUGUGGACCCCCUCAAGAGAAGUACUGGUUAUUUUAUUUGCAGAAAACGUUUUAUUGGGAGUUGUUUACUUUCUGUGACUGAAGUGGGGAACAUGAGGGUCCCUUUACGGAGCCCUCAUAUUCCAUGUGUACUCUGUAUUUUAUUGAGGCUGUUUCCCAGUCAGAACAGCGUCUCUCUUUGUUUGUCAUUCCAAAUCUUUCAGUGUCUUUAGAGCUCUGAGGGCCCUGGAGAGCCUCACCCAACCUCUCAUCCUUCCAUGGCUGUCCCCACCUCUGUGCACUUAUGAGUCAAUGUUGCCGCACUUCAUUACAUGCUGUUCAUAUUACAGCAUUAUAAGAUUUUUUCUUUUAAAAGCCUAUCUUCUUCAAUCGGGUAGUAAGACCAUUGUGGGUUGAGGCAUGUUUCAUACUUCCCACAUAAUCACUCCAGACUUAAAACAGAACCGGAAAUACAUGAAAUAAAAAAUUAUUUUUCUGUUCUCAAA